GACGUUAGCUAAACUCCGAAUGCCGGUAAGUGAGAGUGUAGCAGUGAGACAGUGGGGGAUAAGCUUCAUUGUCGAGAGGGAAACAGCCCAGACCAUCAACUAAGGCCCCUAAGCGUGUGCUAAGUGGGAAAGGAUGUGGAGUUGCUGAGACAACCAGGAGGUUGGCUUAGAAGCAGCCAUCCUUGAAAGAGUGCGUAAUAGCUCACUGGUCAAGUGAUUCUGCGCCGAUAAUGUAGCGGGGCUCAAGUACACCGCCGAAGUUGUGGCAAUCAGCUUUUUGUGGCUGGUUGGGUAGGGGAGCGUCCUGCACGAGGUGAAGCUGCCACGGGAGUGUGUGGUGGAUUGUGUGGGAGUGAGAAUGCAGGCAUGAGUAGCGAAUCACGGGUGAGAAACCCGUGCGCCGGAUGAUCAAGGGUUCCAGGGUCAAGUU
RNAcentral lists this ribosomal RNA (430 nucleotides) under Acetobacter fabarum. Its description in RNAcentral is "bacterial LSU rRNA". It matches the Rfam family "Bacterial large subunit ribosomal RNA", at positions 941 to 1366 of the family's 2925-position model. Lineage: Bacteria; Pseudomonadati; Pseudomonadota; Alphaproteobacteria; Acetobacterales; Acetobacteraceae. The record is from RNAcentral.